AGUGAACGCUGGCGGCAGGCCUAACACAUGCAAGUCGAACGGCAGCACAGUAAGAGCUUGCUCUUACGGGUGGCGAGUGGCGGACGGGUGAGGAAUACAUCGGAAUCUACUUUUUCGUGGGGGAUAACGUAGGGAAACUUACGCUAAUACCGCAUACGACCUACGGGUGAAUGCAGGGGAUCUUCGGACCUUUCGCGAUUGUAUGAGCCGAUGUCGGAUUAGCUAGUUGGCGGGGUAAAGGCCCACCAAGGCGACGAUCCGUAGCUGGUCUGAGAGGAUGAUCGGCCACACUGGAACUGAGACACGGUCCAGACUCCUACGGGAGGCAGCAGUGGGGAAUAUUGGACAAUGGGCGCAAGCCUGAUCCAGCCAUACCGCGUGGGUGAAGAAGGCCUUCGGGUUGUAAAGCCCUUUUGUUGGGAAAGAAAAGCAGCGGAUUAAUACCCGGCUGUUCUGACGGUACCCAAAGAAUAAGCACCGGCUAACUUCGUG
Molecule: ribosomal RNA, 492 nt
Filed under: uncultured bacterium
Lineage: Bacteria
Description: partial 16S ribosomal RNA
Rfam family: Bacterial small subunit ribosomal RNA
Source: RNAcentral